UGAAUGUGCAAGGGUUUGGCUCGUGU
Molecule: non-coding RNA, 26 nt
Filed under: Mus musculus (house mouse)
Lineage: Eukaryota; Metazoa; Chordata; Mammalia; Rodentia; Muridae
Source: RNAcentral